RNAcentral lists this transfer RNA (65 nucleotides) under Helicostoa sinensis. Its description in RNAcentral is "tRNA-Asn". Lineage: Eukaryota; Metazoa; Mollusca; Gastropoda; Littorinimorpha; Helicostoidae. The record is from RNAcentral.
UAAAUGAAAGCCAAAUAGAGGCAUCUAGCUGUUAAUUAGAAAAUUGUAACUUUUUACUCAUUUAG